UACGUAGGGUGCGAGCGUUCAUCGGAAUUAUUGGGCGUAAAGCGCGCGCAGGCGGCCUUUUAAGUCUGAUGUGAAAGCCCACGGCUCAACCGUGGAAGGUCAUUGGAAACUGAAAGGCUUGAGUACAGAAGAGGAAAGCGGAAUUCCACGUGUAGCGGUGAAAUGCGUAGAGAUGUGGAGGAACACCAGUGGCGAAGGCGGCUUUCUGGUCUGUAACUGACGCUGAGGCGCGAAAGCGUGGGGAGCAAACAGG
This 253-nucleotide ribosomal RNA is filed under the name uncultured bacterium. RNAcentral's name for it is "partial 16S ribosomal RNA". It matches the Rfam family "Bacterial small subunit ribosomal RNA", at positions 524 to 776 of the family's 1533-position model. The record is from RNAcentral.